CCUACGGGCGGCAGCAGUGAGGAAUAUUGGUCAAUGGACGAGAGUCUGAACCAGCCAAGUAGCGUGAAGGAUGACUGCCCUAUGGGUUGUAAACUUCUUUUAUAUGGGAAUAAAACGUUCCACGUGUGGGAUUUUGUAUGUACCAUAUGAAUAAGGAUCGGCUAACUCCGUGCCAGCAGCCGCGGUAAUACGGAGGAUCCGAGCGUUAUCCGGAUUUAUUGGGUUUAAAGGGAGCGUAGGUGGAUUGUUAAGUCAGUUGUGAAAGUUUGCGGCUCAACCGUAAAAUUGCAGUUGAAACUGGCAGUCUUGAGUACAGUAGAGGUGGGCGGAAUUCGUGGUGUAGCGGUGAAAUGCUUAGAUAUCACGAAGAACUCCGAUUGCGAAGGCAGUUCACUGGACUGUAACUGACACUGAGGCUCGAAAGUGUGGGUAUCAAACAGGAUUAGAUACCCCUGUAGUC
Molecule: ribosomal RNA, 460 nt
Filed under: uncultured bacterium
Lineage: Bacteria
Description: partial 16S ribosomal RNA
Rfam family: Bacterial small subunit ribosomal RNA
Source: RNAcentral